Molecule: long non-coding RNA, 2986 nt
Filed under: Anolis carolinensis (green anole)
Lineage: Eukaryota; Metazoa; Chordata; Lepidosauria; Squamata; Anolidae
Description: lncRNA (ENSACAG00000038192.1)
Source: RNAcentral
AGCAGCUGUCUUCCCCUGAGCAGUCAUGUCUCAAGGAUCUGCUGGAACAAAAAGGUCAUUACCUGCCAAUGAGUAAGAGAGCAAAGACAGUUUGAUCUCUUUAGGAAGUGAGUUCCAGAACCUGUAUUUUUAAAGCUGUAUCCAUUUUAACCUGUCUAAGCCUUCUUAUAAUAGAAAUAGUAGUCAUAGUAGUAAAGCCUUCUAAAGAGAGAUCAAUAUUUAAGCAGCAUUUGCUUUGUAGCCAUUAGAAAAGCUUUCACUCAGAGGCGGUUCAACUACCAGGCCAACUAGGCAGUUGCCUGUGAUGCCAUCUUGUUGGGGGCACCAUCGAGGCAACUCCUGUAUCCUGCGGCCUGCCUCCUCAAGGAACUUGCCUCAUUUGAAUAUGAACUGCCAGAGAACAAUAACCUCCUAUUCCACCUUUCAUGCUUCACCAAGGAGUAGUUCCAUAAAUCACAAAUAUUGUAGGUGGAAGUAUGGAGAGUGACUGACAACGUACUGAUAUCCGAGGCACCGGCAUUCAAAUUAAUUUGAACCUGCAGCAGAGAGUUCCGCAGAUCCAUCGCAAAGGGACAGAGCGGGACCGCAGCGGACUAUUAUUAAAAGCUCUUUUUUUCUCUUUACUUUCCCCUUCCCUGAACUAUGUAACAAAUCCCCCCAAUAAAAGUAGCAUUCAUUUUAUAACAGUAACACUCUCUAUCUGGUUAUUUUGUGUCUUUCCUUGACUCCUUUUUACAUGCAAUCCUCCCCCUCCCUCUCACUAACCCCGUCCGCCCUUUAAACUCUGGCUGAGACUCCUCCGCCAUAGGUUAAUAUGGCGGACGAUACAAAUUGGCUCAUAUCUCUAUCAAAAUUACCCCUAGCACGCGCUUCUUUUAGUUCUAACACUUCCUAAGGCUCCUGACCCAAGGACCACCAGCGGAACCAAAAUCGGUCCAGUUCUCGGCACCUCAUCAGCUGACUGUCAAACGGAACCGACUGCUCUUUUCAAGCCAGACUGCUCUUUUCCAGCCUUAUCCCAGACUUUCCUCUCCCCGCGACCCGCGGGAUGGUUUUAAGAGACCACCGGUCCUUUCUGUGAACUGUGGAUGAUGGAUCAUUCUCCCUGCUGGGGAGAUAUAGUUCUCCAAGGACCUUCACCCUCUCUACAGCUGCCAGGAGGGUGCCUGGACGGGCGCCCUCCACGUUUCGUCCACACCUUCAUAAUUUUAUGAAUGAGAAGAACACUUUUCCCAAACCUACCCCUGAACUUAUGAAAUCCUAUACUUCCAAAGACUGCAACUCACAUGUACCUCUUCCCCUUGCUAUUUCUAUGAAUUCCUUCCACCACAGAUGAACUCUUCUCCCAAUGUACCCGUGUAUUUUUAUAUCCUAUGAACUUGGACAUCCUCAUGAAUUACUAUUAUAUGAAUUUCAAAUCGUUGGGCUAACUUCAUGAAUUGUAAAAUAAUGCUGCUAAAACUCCACUUUUAUGAAUUUCCACGCUGGGUUCUCCAGAUGUUAUGAACUUCGUUCUUAUCAAAUAUUUUCAAUUGUUUAUAUCAUUCAUGAUUCCCCUUUAUGAAAUGUAACUCACUUUUAUGAAUUCUCCCUUAUUUCCAUGAAAUCUAUCUAUCUGCCUAUAUGUAUUUGUACUCUUUGGAAUCCCCGGAAAAUAUGUAUUUUUCCCAGCCUGGGUUAUAUUCCAACUUUAUUUUAUUUUUCAUUUUAUUUCAUAUAAUUGUCAAAUCAUGAAAUCAAAUAGGAAAUAUUUUGAACUCAACAUGAACCCCAGAACCUAUCCCAUUUCCUAUGACCCAGGCUUCCUUUCCCAAAAACAAAAGGAUAAUCUGCCACCGCUAAAUCCAAUCAAAUUCAAAUUGCAUGGACAAUAUAGGGCUUGAGUCACCGAAUUCGGAGUUGUUGACCUAAAGGUGAUUCGCCCCAAGGCAAACAUUGUCAUAGCUCACCCAAAGAAAUAUCCAGGACACCUCAGGAAGGCGCCUUGCAGAGCCUGUCAAUAUGGCUCAUCACCACCCAUCUUUGCUUCCAUCUCUGACACCCCAAGGCAUAUCUAAAAUCUGUAUACGUGACAGAAACCCGGACGUCCUUGAUUGCUGCCAUUAAUAAAAUAGCACCCUUUAGAAAUCAGUCUAGCAGGACUUAAUCCUCUGGUUCCUGUCCCCGUCACCUCAUUGUUUCGCUAACUCCCGCCUUCUGUCUCCUGAUUGGCCCGAGUGGAGACGUAAGGCAGCUUCCUAUUGGGCCAACGGAGCGAGGCGGGAAACAAAAGCCCGCCUCGUUCAACCUUCUAGCCUAUCAACGAUCAGAUGGGCGGGGAAGCAGGGCAGGAAAUUCAAGGGGCUGUCAGACUGAAAUUUUGUAUAAAUAUGGCUUUAUUUUGAUUGUAUGGUACUUCUAGUAAGUCGAAUGAUCGCUACUAGAGUCCUCUUCAGCUGAAUUGCUCAAUAAAGACUCCUUGGCGGAUUUUCCUUCAACUUUGGCGGACCUUCUUCAUUUCGGCUUCAGGUUGUAUUGCGGCUCGUAUUUUCCUUUUGGCUCCGCCAAGGUCCGUUCUCUCAGGACCGGAUCGGGUCUCUCCUUAAGGGCCCCGAUCCCCUAAAACGCGGUCGACAACAGUACCAUAAACAAUCAGUGAAAUUUGCUUCCCCUGUUGACUCACUGGUCAUAUGAUGAUGAUGAUGAUGAUGAUGAUGAUGAUGAUGAUGAUGAAGAAUACCUUUUCUCUUAAAAGAUACUCAAAAUGGCUAACAGUGUUAAAAACAACACACUGAAUAAUUUUUAAAACUGAAGAUAUAUAAAUACUAAGCCAGAAUUAAUCAUAAGACUAUUAAAAUAAUUAAAACCAGUAAAAUCAUUUAAAAAAAAUUAAAUACAUAAAACACUCCUGGCUCUAUCUUAAAAACAUUUUUUCUUUAAAAGAAAACUGGUAAGGACUAAGCAAUGAGAUUCAAGUCAGAAUUUCAUACACACACUUCUGUCAUCA